RNAcentral lists this small nuclear RNA (25 nucleotides) under Phaeodactylum tricornutum CCAP 1055/1. RNAcentral describes it as "snRNA PTsRNA00001a". Lineage: Eukaryota; Bacillariophyta; Bacillariophyceae; Surirellales; Neidiaceae. The record is from RNAcentral.
UUCUUUGUAAUUUCUCUCGAACAUU